RNAcentral lists this ribosomal RNA (930 nucleotides) under uncultured archaeon. RNAcentral describes it as "partial 16S ribosomal RNA". It matches the Rfam family "Archaeal small subunit ribosomal RNA", at positions 1 to 915 of the family's 1478-position model. The record is from RNAcentral.
UUCCGGUUGAUCCCGCCGGACCCCACUGCUAUCGAGGUGGGACUAAGCCAUGCCAGUCGAACGACCCGGACUAUGGCGGGGAGUGGCAGACUGCUCAGUAACACGUAGCUAACCUACCCUCGGGACGGGGAUAACCCCGGGAAACUGGGGCUAAUACCCGAUAGGUAUGGAUUCCUGGAAUGGUGCCAUGCCUAAACGUAAGCACAUCCAUGUUUGUGUGCACGCCCGAGGAUGGGGCUGCGGCCGAUCAGGCAGUUGGUGAGGUAACGGCUCACCAAACCUUUGACCGGUACGGGCCAUGAAAGUGGUAGCCCGGAAAUGGGCACUGAAACAAGGGCCCAGGCCCUACGGGGCGCAGCAGGCGCGAAACCUCCACAAUUCACGCAAGUGAAAUGGGGUUACCUCAAGUGCCAUCUGAAAAAGGUGGCUUUUCCUUGGUGAAAUGAGCCGUGGGAAUAAGGGGGGGGCAAGACUGGUGUCAGCCGCCGCGGAAACACCAGCCCCCCGAGUGGUGGGGAUGAUUAUUUGGCCUAAAGCGUCCGUAGCCAGCUCGGUAAAUCUCUCGUUAAGUCUCGCGUCUGAUGCGUCGCGCUGCGACGGAAACUGUCGAUCUAGAGGGUGGGAGAGGCUAGCGCUAUUACUGGGGUAGGGGCGAAAUCCCUUGAUCCCCCUAGGACUCCCCGUGGCGAAGGCUGCUGACUAAAACUCUCCUGACGCUGAGAAAAAAAAUUUGGCGUAGCGAAUCGGAUUAGAUACUCGAGUAGUCCGAUUCAAAACGAUGCAGGAUACGUGUUUGUCGAGCAUGUGCCCCCUCAUUGGCUCAGUGAUCCUGUAUACUGCGCCUGGGGAGUGCGGCCGCUAGGCUGAACUUAAAGGUAGUAGGGCGUGAGAGUCACACAGUAGUGAAGCCUGCGGUUUAAUUGGAGUCAA